UCCAGCAGCCGCGGUAAUACGUUCCCGGGCCUUGUACACACCGCCCGUCACACCACGAGAGUUUGUAACACCCGAAGUCGGUGGGGUAACCCUUACGGGAGCCAGCCGCCUAAGGUGGGACAGAUGAUUGGGGUGAAGUCGUAGCAGGGUAGCCGUAUCGGAAGGUGCGGCUGGAUCAGCUCCUUUCUAUGGAUAACUCGAGAA
Molecule: unclassified non-coding RNA, 204 nt
Filed under: uncultured Bacillus sp.
Lineage: Bacteria; Bacillati; Bacillota; Bacilli; Caryophanales; Bacillaceae
Description: partial contains 16S ribosomal RNA, 16S-23S ribosomal RNA intergenic spacer, and 23S ribosomal RNA
Rfam family: Bacterial small subunit ribosomal RNA
Source: RNAcentral